AUGCUGACCGUCCGCGCGCGCACAUUGCCAAACGCUCGAGCAGAGUUUGCUGACCUACUUCGAGACAAAAGUUCCCGCUUCACAAACAAUUUGGUGAAGUUGCAGAAGACCGGUGCUCGUUUUGAAUAUAUUUUUUUUUAUAACAACGCGUUUUGCAGCGUUGUUGCGCGCGCGGACUAUAAGCGCGAGGACACCGGACACCAGAGGGAAGAAUUAGGGAGAAUCUGUGGAGUUGAAGUGGCCAACGUGGCACCAGUCACUGGCAUCAGACCUGCCUCUUAAGUGUGAUGUGACGAUAGUGAGGCUGCUCUUCAGUCAACCAUGGAGCAUGAUCUGAGGAUGGGUUUGUCUGUGUGGACCAUUGUGGCCAUUGUUUGUAACUCUGUGGUGGGUGUCCUCAUCCUCAUCCUCUUCGUCAUCCUCUACAAGGCCUGCAAGGUGCCUUCACACCCAGAGAAAUUGCCAGUUUUCACAGCUCAUCCGCAGCAGAAGAAUUCUGAACAGAAGUACCUGCUGACUGCAGCCUGACGAUAACUUGAAGACACAGACUUGAGAUGUAGACAAGAUUCAACUUUGUCGAUCAAGCAGAAAUCAAGAAAAAGUGGAUUUAUGGUGUUAGAAGACUCUUUGAGAGAUCUUCUAUAUUUCUCCUCCACUCUUGUCAUUAUUUUCGCUCAGUAAGUCCUUUUGUCUAACAUACUGUUCACAUUUCUCCACCAUCAGCCCUUCAUUUAUGCCAUUCAGUGGAGCUCAGAGUGAGCUAACUGCGUUAAGAGUUGUAGCAAGACCAACAACAACAAGCAAGCCCAAUCCUCUUAUCUCUGCUGUGCGUCGCUGGGACUGUCCAUCUGUCAGUCUGUUUGCUUUGCUCUACACAAGCAGACCAUGAUCUCCUCCUCUGCUCCAUUCUUUUUCAUCCCUCCAUAUGAGACAACUGAGAGGAAGAGGAGGAGAAACAGCAAAAACAAAAUGAAUUGUAACAGGAAAGUUUGGGGUGAUGGGGUUGGUUGAGAGUGACGAUGACAUGUUAGAGAAGAAAAAGUAGCUCUGUAGCUGACAAGCGGUUUGGUGUUUGCCAGCUGCAGCACCUAUGAUGAUGACGGCAGAGCUGCAAACAGACGACAGGUAGAAAACCAAACGCCUGAAAAAGUCAGGAAAGUGUGUGAGAGUCAAGAGAGGGCGCAGAGGGAGACAGACGGAGAUAAAGGGCAGAUAUUUGGUGGGGAUGAUAAAAUGCAGGGGAAGAAUCGGAGAGGGGAGUCUUUGAUGUGUUGUUUACAGAGAGGGAGCUCGAGGGCCCUGUUUGACAGUCUCCCUAUUCGACACACAAGUCUCGGCUUCCACCGAUCCGACUACCAUGGGAUUAAAAGCAACAGCAAAAAUGUUACUCGUGUCCCGGUGUGCCUCUCUUUCAUUUUGUGAGCUCCUGUAAAGACUGAAUAAGAUAUUUUUAGACAGGCUUCACCAGAAAUGACAUAUUGAACACUCACAGUCUCACAGUAACAAGUGAAUAUUGUAUUUAUUGUAGUGAAUGUACUGCAGCCAACACACUGACUGUGGUAGCAAUAUUCUCUAAAGAGUGGAAGAGUGAUGGAAUAUACCAAUGUGACAAGCCAAUCAUCACAAUAAAAAGUACUGCAUACCAGUAUAUAUUUUUGUCUUGUAUAGUGAUACAAAGGGCUCUUAACAGAAAUGUGAUUUAUUUUGUGUUUGAGAAACAUCAGUUGAAGUUUUAUCUGAGGUAAUUGGUCCAAAAAGAUGUUUAAAAAAUGAUAUGCUGCUUUGAUUUUCUAUGCAGCAUGUUCUGUUUUGUGGGAUAUAUUACUCACAUGCAAUCAUGAACAGCAAUUUGUGGUGAAAUGAUUAGUUGUUUAAGACAUAUUUGGGAUUUGAUAAAUAAUUUAAAUCACAAUUAAGUUGCAGCUUAUGUGUGAACUUUUUCUUUCAUAUCAUUGUAAACUGAAUAACUUGACUCUAUACCUUGUGCUGCUAAUGACUUUCUGAUACAAUAAAAUGAUUUACUCUGAUGUAUAACUAACGUGGUCCACAAUCAAUAUUGCCAUGCCUCUUCGAUGUGUACUAGCGUCUCCUAUUUCUUUAAACAUUAGAAUUAAAUUACCAACUGGCUUCAGCAUCCUGCACUGUAGCUAUCAGUGUGGAACAUAUUGAUGUCAACAGCGCCCCACAUCCUGUUGUUAGUCACAACUAUAUCUGGUAACCAUGAUCCACAGGGAACUAUUGAGUGUUAACUUCUGUGGAUGUUUGUCUUUGAGUGGUUUCAGUCAUUAUUUCUCUGUCUUUAGCACACAUAAAGGCAGUGGUGGAGUAACUAUGUGCCUUUACUCAAGUGCUGCUUAUAAUAAGUGCAGGUUUUAGACAUUUUAUCCUAUUUGUACUUCCACUCCACUACAUUUCAGAAGAAUUUAUUUGACAGCCAUAGUUACUAGUUGCCUUACAGAUGACUUAUAAGAUUAGCUCUUAAAAUACAAUACACUGUGGUGCAUUAAACUACCCAACUGUAUAUAAAGGACAUAAGAGUACUUCCAGUUACAUUAAAACAGUGCUUAAACAUCAGUAAUCAUUUGUUAUGUAAUAAUCUUAUUAUUAAUCAUCAUAGUAUUAGAAGAACAAGGGGCCAUUCUGCUUGCAUACUGAGUACUUACUUGAUACUUACAAUAUGUGCAUACUAUUACUUCAGUAACAUUUUUAAUGCAGGUAUUUUUACUUGUAAUGUCAUAUUUG
Dicentrarchus labrax (European seabass) is the source of this 2742-nucleotide long non-coding RNA. The record is from Ensembl. Lineage: Eukaryota; Metazoa; Chordata; Actinopteri; Moronidae.